AAAAAGGAAAUGAAUAAUAUGUACAAGAAUAGUAAAUUGCAUAAAUGUAAAGUGCAAGAAGUAAAUGUUAAUGGUUAAUAGUUAGUGUUCCAUAAGGCAAAUUUAGCGCUAUGUUAAGCAAUCGUAAUUGGACUUAUGUAGAAGUCACAACUAUCUGAGGCCGGUCAAUAAUAAUGUAGGCAACAACACAAGAGGUCUUGAUUAGUG
Molecule: long non-coding RNA, 207 nt
Filed under: Lathyrus oleraceus (garden pea)
Lineage: Eukaryota; Viridiplantae; Streptophyta; Magnoliopsida; Fabales; Fabaceae
Description: Pisum sativum (pea) long non-coding RNA (PSAT_LNC034295)
Source: RNAcentral